RNAcentral lists this ribosomal RNA (472 nucleotides) under uncultured organism. Its description in RNAcentral is "partial 16S ribosomal RNA". It matches the Rfam family "Bacterial small subunit ribosomal RNA", at positions 334 to 797 of the family's 1533-position model. The record is from RNAcentral.
CACUCCUACGGGAGGCAGCAGUGGGGAAUUUUGGACAAUGGGCGAAAGCCUGAUCCAGCCAUGCCGCGUGCAGGAUGAAGGCCUUCGGGUUGUAAACUGCUUUUGUACGGAACGAAACGGCCUUUUCUAAUAAAGAGGGCUAAUGACGGUACCGUAAGAAUAAGCACCGGCUAACUACGUGCCAGCAGCCGCGGUAAUACGUAGGGUGCAAGCGUUAAUCGGAAUUACUGGGCGUAAAGCGUGCGCAGGCGGUUAUGUAAGACAGUUGUGAAAUCCCCGGGCUCAACCUGGGAACUGCAUCUGUGACUGCAUAGCUAGAGUACGGUAGAGGGGGAUGGAAUUCCGCGUGUAGCAGUGAAAUGCGUAGAUAUGCGGAGGAACACCGAUGGCGAAGGCAAUCCCCUGGACCUGUACUGACGCUCAUGCACGAAAGCGUGGGGAGCAAACAGGAUUAGAAACCCCUGUAGUCCCA